Molecule: ribosomal RNA, 427 nt
Filed under: uncultured bacterium
Lineage: Bacteria
Description: partial 16S ribosomal RNA
Rfam family: Bacterial small subunit ribosomal RNA
Source: RNAcentral
GUGAGGAAUCUUCCACAAUGGGCGAAAGCCUGAUGGAGCAACGCCGCGUGAAGGAUGAAGGUCUUCGGAUUGUAAACUUCUUUUAUGAGUGAAGAAUAUGACGGUAACUCAUGAAUAAGCACCGGCUAACUACGUGCCAGCAGCCGCGGUCAUACGUAGGGUGCAAGCAUUAUCCGGAGUGACUGGGCGUAAAGAGUUGCGUAGGCGGUUAUGUAAGCGAAUAGUGAAACCUGGUGGCUCAACCACACAGACUAUUAUUCGAACUGCAUAACUCGAGAAUGGUAGAGGUAACUGGAAUUUCUUGUGUAGGAGUGAAAUCCGUAGAUAUAAGAAGGAACACCAAUGGCGUAGGCAGGUUACUGGGCCAUUUCUGACGCUAAGGCACGAAAGCGUGGGGAGCAAACAGGAUUAGAAACCCCGGUAGUCC